Molecule: long non-coding RNA, 490 nt
Filed under: Nicotiana tabacum (common tobacco)
Lineage: Eukaryota; Viridiplantae; Streptophyta; Magnoliopsida; Solanales; Solanaceae
Description: long non-coding RNA (NTAB_LNC013028)
Source: RNAcentral
UUUCGAUAAGUUUGAAAUAACACCCUUAAGACUAAGGGCCUUCGCCAUCAGAGUAAAAGCAGGAUUCGACCUCUUUUGAAUAAUGACGGGAUGUUAUUUCGAUAAGUUAGAAAUAACACCAUUAAGGCUAAGAGCCUUCGCUAUCAAAGUAAAAGGAGGAUUCGACCUCGUUCGAAUCACGAUGGGAUGUUAUUUCGAUAAGUUCGAAAUAACACCCUUAAGUCUAAGGGCCUUCGCCAUCAGAGUAAAAACAGGAUUUGACCUUGUUAGAAUCACGACGGAUAGUUAUUUCGAUAAGUUCGAAAUAACACCCUUAAGGCUAAGGGGUUUCUCCAUCAGAGUAAAAGUAGGGUUCGACCUCGUUCGAAUCAUGACGAGAUGUUAUUUCGAUAAGUUUGAAAUAACACCCUCAAGGCUAGAGAGCUUCGCCAUCAAAGUAAAAGUAGGAUUCGACCUCGUUCGAAUCAUGACGGGUUGUUAUUUCGAUAAG